GCAUCGAUGAAGAACGCAGCGAAAUGCGAUAAGUAGUGUGAAUUGCAGAAUUCAGUGAAUCAUCGAAUCUUUGAACGCACAUUGCGCCCUUCGGUAUUCCGUUGGGCAUGCCUGUUCGAGCGUCAUUUAACCCUUCAAGCUUCUGCUUGGUGUUGGGCGUUUGUUCCGCCUCCGCGCGUGGACUCGCCUCAAAUUCAUUGGCAGCCGGUAAGUUGGCUUCGUGCGCAGCACAUUGCGUCGCGUCUCCAGCCUGCCCCCUUCCAACAAGCCUNUAUUAUCACUUUGACCUCGGAUCAGGUAGGGAUACCCGCUGAACUUAAGCAUAUCAAUAAGCGGAGGA
Molecule: ribosomal RNA, 340 nt
Filed under: uncultured Ascomycota
Lineage: Eukaryota; Fungi; Ascomycota
Description: eukaryotic LSU rRNA
Rfam family: 5.8S ribosomal RNA (bases 1-125)
Source: RNAcentral